RNAcentral lists this ribosomal RNA (440 nucleotides) under uncultured bacterium. RNAcentral's name for it is "bacterial SSU rRNA". It matches the Rfam family "Bacterial small subunit ribosomal RNA", at positions 338 to 795 of the family's 1533-position model. The record is from RNAcentral.
CCUANGGGAGUCAGCAGUGGGGAAUAUUGGACAAUGGGCGCAAGCCUGAUCCAGCAAUGCCGCGUGAGUGAAGAAGGUCUUCGGAUUGUAAAGCUCUUUUGGCGGGGACGAUGAUGACGGUACCCGCAGAAUAAGCCCCGGCUAACUUCGUGCCAGCAGCCGCGGUAAUACGAAGGGGGCUAGCGUUGCUCGGAAUGACUGGGCGUAAAGGGCGCGUAGGCGGAUUGUACAGUCAGACGUGAAAUUCCUGGGCUCAACCUGGGGGCUGCGUUUGAUACGUAUAGUCUUGAGUGAGGAAGAGGGUUGUGGAAUUCCCAGUGUAGAGGUGAAAUUCGUAGAUAUUGGGAAGAACACCGGUGGCGAAGGCGGCAACCUGGUCCUUUACUGACGCUGAGGCGCGAAAGCGUGGGGAGCAAACAGGAUUAGAUACCCUUNUANUC